RNAcentral lists this ribosomal RNA (253 nucleotides) under uncultured bacterium. RNAcentral's name for it is "partial 16S ribosomal RNA". It matches the Rfam family "Bacterial small subunit ribosomal RNA", at positions 524 to 776 of the family's 1533-position model. The record is from RNAcentral.
UACGAAGGGGGCUAGCGUUGUUCGGAAUUACUGGGCGUAAAGGGCGCGUAGGCGGCCUUCUAAGUCGAACGUGAAAUCCCUGGGCUCAACCCAGGAACUGCGUCCGAUACUGGAGGGCUUGAAUCCGGGAGAGGGAUGCGGAAUUCCCGGUGUAGCGGUGAAAUGCGCAGAGAUCGGGAGGAACACCCGUAGCGAAGGCGGCACUCUGGGCCGGUACUGACGCUGAGGAGCGAAAGCGUGGGGAGCAAACAGG